RNAcentral lists this ribosomal RNA (479 nucleotides) under Pseudoalteromonas sp. RKVR12. RNAcentral describes it as "bacterial SSU rRNA". It matches the Rfam family "Bacterial small subunit ribosomal RNA", at positions 1 to 486 of the family's 1533-position model. The record is from RNAcentral. Lineage: Bacteria; Pseudomonadati; Pseudomonadota; Gammaproteobacteria; Alteromonadales; Pseudoalteromonadaceae.
CCUUUAGAGUUUGGAUCCUGGCUCAGAUUGAACGCUGGCGGCAGGCCUAACACAUGCAAGUCGAACGGUAACAUUUCUAGCUUGCUAGAAGAUGACGAGUGGCGGACGGGUGAGUAAUGCUUGGGAACUUGCCUUUGCGAGGGGGAUAACAGUUGGAAACGACUGCUAAUACCGCAUAAUGUCUUCGGACCAAACGGGGCUUCGGCUCCGGCGCAAAGAGAGGCCCAAGUGAGAUUAGCUAGUUGGUAAGGUAACGGCUUACCAAGGCGACGAUCUCUAGCUGUUCUGAGAGGAAGAUCAGCCACACUGGGACUGAGACACGGCCCAGACUCCUACGGGAGGCAGCAGUGGGGAAUAUUGCACAAUGGGGGAAACCCUGAUGCAGCCAUGCCGCGUGUGUGAAGAAGGCCUUCGGGUUGUAAAGCACUUUCAGUUGUGAGGAAAAGUUAGUAGUUAAUACCCUGCUAGCCGUGACGUAC